This 301-nucleotide ribosomal RNA is filed under the name uncultured bacterium. RNAcentral's name for it is "partial 16S ribosomal RNA". It matches the Rfam family "Bacterial small subunit ribosomal RNA", at positions 509 to 809 of the family's 1533-position model. The record is from RNAcentral.
CAGCCGCCACGGGAAAACGUAUGUCACAAGCGUUAUCCGGAUUUAUUGGGCGUAAAGCGCGUCUAGGUGGUUAUGUAAGUCUGAUGUGAAAAUGCAGGGCUCAACUCUGUACUGCGUUGGAAACUGUGUAACUAGAGUACUGGAGAGGUAAGCGGAACUACAAGUGUAAAGGUGAAAUUCGUAGAUAUUUGUAGGAAUGCCGAUGGGGAAGCCAGCUUACUGGACAGAUACUGACGCUAAAGCGCGAAAGCGUGGGUAGCAAACAGGAUUAGAUACCCCCGUAGUCCCUGUCUCUUUACAC